GAGUUUGAUCCUGGCUCAGAUUGAACGCUGGCGGCAGGCCUAACACAUGCAAGUCGAGCGGAUGAAGGGAGCUUGCUCCUGGAUUCAGCGGUGGACGGGUGAGUAAUGCCUAGGAAUCUGCCUGGUAGUGGGGAUAACGUCCGGAAACGGGCGCUAAUACCGCAUACGUCCUGAGGGAGAAAGUGGGGGAUCUUCGGACCUCACGCUAUCAGAUGAGCCUAGGUCGGAUUAGCUAGUUGGUGGGGUAAAGGCCUACCAAGGCGACGAUCCGUAACUGGUCUGAGAGGAUGAUCAGUCACACUGGAACUGAGACACGGUCCAGACUCCUACGGGAGGCAGCAGUGGGGAAUAUUGGACAAUGGGCGAAAGCCUGAUCCAGCCAUGCCGCGUGUGUGAAGAAGGUCUUCGGAUUGUAAAGCACUUUAAGUUGGGAGGAAGGGCGAGUAAGUUAAUUACCUUGUCUGUUUUGUACGUUACCAACAGAAUAAG
Molecule: ribosomal RNA, 489 nt
Filed under: uncultured microorganism
Description: bacterial SSU rRNA
Rfam family: Bacterial small subunit ribosomal RNA
Source: RNAcentral